This 2386-nucleotide long non-coding RNA is filed under the name Panax ginseng (ginseng). RNAcentral's name for it is "long non-coding RNA (PGIN_LNC012270)". Lineage: Eukaryota; Viridiplantae; Streptophyta; Magnoliopsida; Apiales; Araliaceae. The record is from RNAcentral.
UUCUAUUCACAUUUCUAUUUCACUUCAGUAUUCAGUAUGUGAGUUUUCCCCCAUUUUGCCCUAACCCGCUCAACACUCGCCAGAUCUGAUCUCGAUCACUUCUCAGCCUCUUGCCUUCUCGAUCGACUCUCGAGUCUCAAUCUCUGGCGCGACCUCCACCUCUCCGGCUCUCCCCGUCUCAGUCUCCGGCGCGGCCUCCGCCUCUCGUCUCGACCCUCACUGAAUCACUGGUCACUGUCGGUCUCUUCGCGCCUCUCGUCGUCGCCGACUCGCCGUCUCACUGAGUCACUGUCUUUCUAAAUCUAAGUCUCUAAGACUCUAAGAACUUGGUAUGUUCUCGACUUACCCUGAUGGCAUAAUUUUGGUGGUGCUUUUUUCCUUCUAUGGUUUUUGUCUGCACGUUUGUUGUGAUUUUUGAGUGGAAGAAUGAAAUGAGUAAAGAAAAGUUUACAAAAUUCACGUUUUUGUCUGCAUUUUUUGUGAAAUGAGUAAAGAAAGCCAUUAUUUUUUAAUUCACGUUUGUUGUGAUACUUGUAGCCAUGUUUGUUGUGAUUUUAAUUCACGUUUGUUGUGAGUAAAAUGAUUUGUUUUUACAAAAUGUCUGCAUUUUAAGCCAUCUGAAGUUCUGAACUGACUGUAAAAUCUAAACUGCAUUUUGGUUGUUGACUUAUUGGUUGGUUGGUUGCCAUCUGAGUAUCUGAGUUUUGGUGGUUGGUUGACUUGUUUUGUAUUGGUGAUUUGGUGUAUUGGUGAUUUGGUGUUAUGCUAUGAGUAUGAACUAUGAAGCACAAUUUAUUGCAGAAAGCUAGAGUCUUUACAUGUUAGGGGUCUAUCCUUAUAAACAACUAUUUUCCAGAUACAUAUUAUAUACAUAUAAAUAAACCAAUUUUGAGAGCUACAGUCUUUGCAUGUCAGGGGUUUUAUCUGUUCCAUGUGGCUGUUGAUUUGAUUGUCAAAUUGCAAAGAUGCUGUGGAGAUAUUGUUGGUUUCUUUUACUUUCACUUGGUUAGAUUCAAAAUUUGAUAUCAUGAACUGGUGAAGGUUAAUUAAUUAUUUGAUAUCUCAAGUUACAGUCAUGUAUUUCCUUGAACUAGUUUGUCCAUUUAAGUUAUUAAGCUUGUUUUCACUAUAUAUUUUUUACUCUGUGACAAAACUAGAUUACUCUGUGACCCAUCUCAAGUUACAGUCAUGUAUUUCCUUGAACUAGUUUGUCCAUUUAAGUUAUUAAGCUUGUUUUCACUAUAUAUUUUUUACUCUGUGACAAAACUAGAUUACUCUGUGACCCAUCUCAAGUUACAGUCAUUGAUUUGAUUUUAGAAGCCAUUAGAAAGGUAUGUAAGUUGAUUUGCUAUUAGCUGAACUGAAAUAGUCAUAAUAACAGUUUUUGGUAUGUUUAAGCCUUUUUGUGGCUGUCAAUGCCAGCAGGAAGAGUUGAGAGAAGGAAAUGUUUCUAGAAAGAAAUCAUUUUUGGUUUUCCUUUUUGAAUUGGAUUUUUGAUAGUGAUAUUGUCUUGUUUUGUUAUAGGUAACUGCUCCUAUGAGCUUCAAAUUGCUUACCUUUAUUUCUAUUCUAUAUAGAUCCAUGUGAAGUUACGUGUAGUGAACGUGGAAUGCCGCUUUCAAUAGUUUGUUUACUUUGCUUAUACAUGUAUAUAUUGCUAUACUAAUUUGUUUGCCCAUUGUCGUGCUCUGCCUUGGGCUGACAAUUUUAUUUUAGUUAGUUCUAUGCAGGUCUCCUGUUACUGCAAUACUACUUAUGAUGCAAUUUCUUUUUUCUUCAGGUUUAUGUCAGUAAAACUGGGCAAGAGUUGACUGGUCAAGUUGCUUACAGAUGUUACACAAUUUACCUGUUACAGGUUUACAGGUUUGCCUGUUGCUGUUGGCUCAUGGCUGUGGAUGUCGCUGACUUCUUGUUGCAUGUUGUUGUACUGUUGGCUCUUGAAUCUUGGUUGUUGGCUCUUGCACAAGCACAACUGCUGAGUAGUUAUUGCCUGCUAGUAGAAUAAAUUCUUGUAGAUGUAGCCAUGUAGGGUGCUAGGCUGCUAGCUGCUUUGUUCAAGUCAUAAACUUUGUUAAGGUUUUAAGGAUAAUUACUUUGUUGGCUUGUUUUAAGUUAUUUUGCUGCUGGAUAGUUACUUUGUUGGACAGUUAAGUUAACAGUUAAUUUGUUGGACAGUUAUGAGUUAACACUUAACAGUUAAUUUAUGUUGGAUGUUGGUUCGGUUUUUACUCGAAUACCAAAAAUUACAAUUCGGUAAUUCGAUUAUUUUCAAAUUUCGGUUAGUUGUUCGGAUAGUAGAAAUAUUAAUAAUUCGGUUUUCGGUUAUAAACGAAUAACUUAUUCGGUUCGGUUAUAACCGAAUGAUCACUCCUAGGCAAGCUUCUCC